GACGUAGGGCGCGAGCGUUGUCCGGAUUUAUUGGGCGUAAAGAGCUCGUAGGCGGCUCGUUGCGUCGGCUGUGAAAACCCGCAGCUCAACUGUGGGCUUGCAGCUGAUACGGGCGGGCUGGAGUUCGGUAGGGGAGACUGGAAUUCCUGGUGUAGCGGUGAAAUGCGCAGAUAUCAGGAGGAACACCCGUGGCGAAGGCGGCUCUCUGGGACGGUACUGACGCUGAGACGCGAAAGCGUGGGGAGCGAACAGG
This 253-nucleotide ribosomal RNA is filed under the name uncultured bacterium. Its description in RNAcentral is "partial 16S ribosomal RNA". It matches the Rfam family "Bacterial small subunit ribosomal RNA", at positions 524 to 776 of the family's 1533-position model. The record is from RNAcentral.